UUUUAGAAAUUAAUUUAAAGUCUAACCUGCCCACUGAAUAAUUUUAAAUGGCCGCAGUAUCCUAACUGUGCAAAGGUAGCAUAAUCAUUAGUCUUUUAAUUGAAGGCUGGAAUGAAUGGUUGGAUGAAAUAUUAACUGUUUCAUAAAAAUUUAUAAUAGAAUUUUAUUUUUUAGUCAAAAAGCUAAAAUAUUAUUAAAAGACGAGAAGACCCUAUAAAUCUUUAUAUUUAAAUAAUUUUAAUUAUUUAGAUAAAUUAAAUUAUAAUUAUUUUAAAUAUUUUAUUGGGGUGAUAUUAAAAUUUAAUAAACUUUUAAUUUAUAAUUAACAUAAAUUAAUGAAUUAUUGAUCCAUUUAUUAUGAUUAAAAAAUUAAGUUACUUUAGGGAUAACAGCGUAAUUUUUUUAGAGAGUUCAUAUUGAUAAAAA
RNAcentral lists this ribosomal RNA (426 nucleotides) under Megaselia angusta. RNAcentral describes it as "partial 16S ribosomal RNA". The record is from RNAcentral. Lineage: Eukaryota; Metazoa; Arthropoda; Insecta; Diptera; Phoridae.